RNAcentral lists this long non-coding RNA (565 nucleotides) under Panicum hallii. Its description in RNAcentral is "long non-coding RNA (PHAL_LNC000768)". Lineage: Eukaryota; Viridiplantae; Streptophyta; Magnoliopsida; Poales; Poaceae. The record is from RNAcentral.
GGUGUUUAAGAAAAUUCGGUUAGUGCCAAUCGGUUUCUGUAAAAACUUAAAACCGAGUAUUUCGGGUUAGGUUAUCUCGGUUCAGUGUUCAGUUAUAACCGAAAUAACCGUAUAUUCACUGAAUCAUACACAAAAUCAACGAAAUCAACGGAUACAAUCAUCUAUACACCAAAUUGAAACAAGAUACAUAAAAAAUCCAACACAAAUGAAUUCAACAUUGGUUACAAAUCCAAAGAAGAGCAUUGGUUUCGAAGAGAGGGGCAAGUGAACUGUGGCUCCGCUUGGCGAGGAGCAGCGGAGGGCUUCUGGACAGGACAAAGAAGUAGCAAGCCGGUGUUGCCCGCCGGGAACAGGCCCAGGCGGCCGGCCAGCACGCGCCGCCCGCGGCCGAGGCCAGGCGGCCGGGGCCAGGCGACCUGCCUGCACGCGCCGCGCGUGGCUGGGGCCAGGCAGCUGGCCAGCACGCCCGCCCGCGGCCGGCCUGCAAGCGACGCCGCGAGGGGGCAGGCGGGUUGCCGCCUACGUGCGCCGCCUGCACGCGUGCACUGGGCGAGCGGCCGCCAGG